CAGUAGCCGCGGGAAUACAGAGGGUGCGAGCGUUAAUCGGAUUUACUGGGCGUAAAGCGUGCGUAGGCGGCUUCUUAAGUCGGAUGUGAAAUCCCUGAGCUUAACUUAGGAAUUGCAUUCGAUACUGGGAAGCUAGAGUAUGGGAGAGGAUGGUGGAAUUCCCGGUGUAGCGGUGAAAUGCGUAGAGAUCGGGAGGAACAUCAGUGGCGAAGGCGGCCAUCUGGGACAACACUGACGCUGAGGCACGAAAGCGUGGGGAGCAAACAGGAUUAGAUACCCGUGUAGUCCCUGUCUCUUAUAA
Molecule: ribosomal RNA, 301 nt
Filed under: uncultured bacterium
Lineage: Bacteria
Description: partial 16S ribosomal RNA
Rfam family: Bacterial small subunit ribosomal RNA
Source: RNAcentral